Molecule: long non-coding RNA, 3148 nt
Organism: Pseudopipra pipra
Lineage: Eukaryota; Metazoa; Chordata; Aves; Passeriformes; Pipridae
Exons: 2
Source: RefSeq, a predicted model, not a curated record
CUGUCCAAUCUACAAUUUCUUUUAGGUAAUAAAAUUGACUUGUUCUGCAAAUAUCACUUCUUUUUUAUUGCUAAGAACGUGAAUAGUUUCGACUCAAUAUUCACUGCUACCUCUUGCAGUCAGUUUUCUGGAAGGAUACUAAUGUAAUUAUGUUUUUUUGUUUGAUUCUUGCUCAAGACAACUAAACACUUCUUGACUGAGGAAAAGAUGUGGAGCUCAACCUUGCCUCUCCUGUGCACAUAGACACUGUACUGGCUACGGAUCCUCUCCAAAUCCACUGCCCUUCCAGAAGGGAAAAGAAUCAUAAUGCUCCCGCAGCACCCCAAUGCACCAGCAUAAAGAAAAUACUGGAUCUGUUGCCCAUCCAGAAAUACUGACUGGGGACAGAGCUGAUGAUCCACACAGACCAAAACAUCUACACAUUUUCUCAUUCUUGUAGACAAUCCCAAUAACAGCUUGAAGCUCUCAGUUCCCACCUUGUGUGUUAAUAGAAGCAAAUAAAAGUGAGAUUCCAAAGCAAAUGUGUAGAAGUAGCUCCUUUUGGGCAGGUCCCUUAACAUCCUGCUGUCUGGAUCCUCCUGCAAGCCUUGAGGAGAUAGAAAGGGGCAACAUGCCAAGGCUGCAGAUAAGAAGUGGAAUCAAUGUUGUUGGACAAAAACGACUUUUCAGUAGAGUAUGCUAUAGAAUAUAAUUUCUAAAAUAUCUAUUUGGUAUUACAAAACUAAGACUGAGUAGGAAUAUGUUGAGAAGUGACUUGGGUCCUCUUUAUAUUGAAAAAGUCAUAACUGUUCAGUCUUCAAUUUAUGAGAGCAGUUUGAUUAUUUGAAAUAUUUGCACAUUCAUUUGAUUUAGUACAUUAGAAGAAAUGGAAACUUCAAUAACAUCAAUGUACUCUUAAAGAGUCACAUUCCACAUGCCUUUGUCUCCUGUUACUGAGAACUACACUGACAAAUCACAGUGAAUGCUGAAACACAUGGAUUUCUGAAGCCUGGUCAUACCCUAAAUUAAUACUGCUGCUUUCAUCCUGCUUAUUUUGUAAAAUGACCCUGUUGUUUCUAUUCAGUUGCUUUAUGUGAGAUUCUUGAUCAUUUCUGUCAAUCAAACUCUGCAUGCAUCAGGUGACCAUUUCAUAUGACCCUGCUCAGAGAACAAGGACCUCUCAAACAGUGCUCCAAGUUGUUUUAAAUAGAUUCCUACAUUCUGCUAUUUAUCAACAACCAGACUUAGCAAAACAUUUGACCUCUGAAAACCUUUGACCAAUUUUUUCAAAGAAGCUUGAAUUUAUUCAUUAUUCAUGUUCAUUCUUCCUUCGGCAUAUGGAUGAUAAUGCAUAGAUAUGCAAAGUCCAAAAAAGUCAAAAAAUGGUGCCUUGAGCAGACAACCCUUCUGUGUGUGUGUUUGCUCACUUUGAAAAAGUAUAAUGAGGUUCUUAAACCUGAACUUCUGUACUUUCAUAUAAGCAAAGAGAAUGUGAAUCACGCUGAAGUGAGAGAAAAAGGCACUGCAGAAUACAUUGCCAGAACCAUGUGCUACACAGAAGUCCUAAACAGAAGUCAAGGCUGCAACAGACGAACUGUAACUCUUGGUAUGCAAUCCUUCACUGGGAUAUGUCUCAAAGGCCUCAAAGGUGGCUAAUACAAUGCCAAAUUUCAAGAAGUAUUUUUGGAAAAUCUGAAAAAAUGUUAAUCUAUUAUUCUUACAGCUAUGCCACACAAGUCAGGCAAUAUGUGGGAUAUAUUAGGGAAGAGCAAGCAUGAAUUUUCUAUAGGUUAGUUAUGCCUGAACAAACAUACUACAGUUCUUUGGUGAUAUUAGCAGUGAUGUGGAUAAUGGAGAGUUGGUUCAUAAAAUCUACCUGAAUCUCCAAAAGGCGUUUGGAAAUUCAACUUGUUGAAGGUUCUUCUGAGUGAAAAGUAAAUGGUCAUGAAGAAGGUACUUCCAAGGUAAACGCUUAGUCAAAAAAUGGAAAACGCAAGAUAUGGUACGUUGUUGGUAUUGACAAUGGAGUGAAGUGAGCAAUAGCUUACCUCAGGGAUCUGUGCUGUUAACUUAUCCAUGAAUUAUCUAGAAAUGGGAAUAGCUGAAGUGACAAAAUCUGAUGGGAAUCCUUUGAAGUUGAAAUUGUUCAAAGCUGAAAAAAAUGCACACUUACUGUGCAGCAGCAUUUCAUAAGAAAAUAGGCAAGUCCUGACUGUACUUGAUACACAAUAAAAAUAAUACGGAAUGUGAAGCUUAGGGUAGAUAAAUGUGAAGUAAUGGAACUAAGGGAAGUGAUCCUUAUUUUAUUUAUGUAACAAUGGUUUACCAGUACUAAUCUAGAGUGAGUUUUAGCCCCAAAUCCUGUGGAAAUCAUUGCCUCGGGUCUCAGUGCAGUCAACAAGGAAAGAAAAUGUUAAACACUGUUGGACAAUUAUACAGAACAAACCAGGAAAUUAUAGAGAACAAAUGAGAAAACAGCAUUUUCAUAGUAUAAUCUAAUGUUCAUCAAGCAAAAUCAAGGGGAAAAAAAGGUACUUCAACAUUUUCUUGUAAAGCAUUAAUAAUAAUAACAACAGCAAUACCUCUUUAAAGUUAGCUUCUUAUAUUAAGGCCAUCUGAAAGAUCACCAGUUCCUAAGGUGUUAUGAUAGGUGUUGAUAGUCUUCUCUAAUUAAAAUAAACACUUGUUUCCAGUCUUUAGAAAAUGAAUUUUGUAACUAAUAAUAAAUUCUCAAGUUGUUACCCAAUUAUACACAAAUGGAAAUUCAGUUUUGUCUCCUAAUUAGUUUUUUUAUUUUGUUUUUGUGGGGUUUUUUUCUUUGUAUGUAUGUGGUUUUCUCUUUUCCUCCCCCCUCUGCUACUUUUUCCUUCCUGAAUGCAACACAAUAAGAGAUGUAGCAACUGGAGCUUUGAAACUAUGACAUACAAAAUGAUUGCAAAUGCAUUAGCAUCAGAAAUUCUUUAAGACCAAUUAAUGGGAAAAUUCACUAAAAGCUGCAUUAUCUCUUUAAAAGAGCUUUACUCACUUAUGUCAUGCAGCUCAUAAAUAACAGAGAUCUGAAAGGAAAUCCCUUUGUAAAUUGUUCUUCAGACUUUAUAAGAGAAGAUGCCAGUCAUGAAGCUGUUUAAACAUAAGUUUAUGUUCUGAAUAAAAGCACGACAGAAUGAAU